RNAcentral lists this ribosomal RNA (253 nucleotides) under uncultured bacterium. Its description in RNAcentral is "partial 16S ribosomal RNA". It matches the Rfam family "Bacterial small subunit ribosomal RNA", at positions 524 to 776 of the family's 1533-position model. The record is from RNAcentral.
UACGUAGGGUGCAAGCGUUGUCCGGAAUUAUUGGGCGUAAAGAGCUCGUAGGCGGUCUGUCGCGUCGAAUGUGAAAACCCGGGGCUCAACCCCGGGCCUGCAUUCGAUACGGGCAGACUAGAGUUCGGUAGGGGAGUCUGGAAUUCCUGGUGUAGCGGUGAAAUGCGCAGAUAUCAGGAGGAACACCGGUGGCGAAGGCGGGACUCUGGGCCGAUACUGACGCUGAGGAGCGAAAGCAUGGGGAGCAAACAGG